RNAcentral lists this ribosomal RNA (485 nucleotides) under uncultured bacterium. RNAcentral's name for it is "partial 16S ribosomal RNA". It matches the Rfam family "Bacterial small subunit ribosomal RNA", at positions 28 to 507 of the family's 1533-position model. The record is from RNAcentral.
GAUGAACGCUAGCGACAGGCUUAACACAUGCAAGUCGAGGGGCAGCACAGGUAGCAAUACCGGGUGGCGACCGGCGCACGGGUGAGUAACGCGUAUGCAACUUACCUAUCAGAGGGGGAUAACCCGGCGAAAGUCGGACUAAUACCGCAUGAAGCAGGGGUCCCGCAUGGGGAUAUUUGCUAAAGAUUCAUCGCUGAUAGAUAGGCAUGCGUUCCAUUAGGCAGUUGGCGGGGUAACGGCCCACCAAACCGACGAUGGAUAGGGGUUCUGAGAGGAAGGUCCCCCACAUUGGUACUGAGACACUGACCAAACUCCUACGGGAGGCAGCAGUGAGGAAGAUUGAUCAAUGGCCGAGAGGCUGAACCAGCCAAGUCGCGUGAGGGAUGAAGGUUCUAUGGAUCGUAAACCUCUUUUAGAAGGGAAUAAAGUGCGGGACGUGUCCCGUUUUGUAUGUACCUUAUGAAUAAGGAUCGGCUAACUCCGUG